This 73-nucleotide transfer RNA is filed under the name Mus musculus (house mouse). RNAcentral describes it as "tRNA-Asn". The record is from RNAcentral. Lineage: Eukaryota; Metazoa; Chordata; Mammalia; Rodentia; Muridae.
GGAGAGAUGGCUUAGCGGGUAAGAGCACUGACUGUUCUUCCAGAGGUCCUGAGUUCAAUUCCCAGCAACCACA